This 302-nucleotide ribosomal RNA is filed under the name uncultured bacterium. RNAcentral's name for it is "partial 16S ribosomal RNA". It matches the Rfam family "Bacterial small subunit ribosomal RNA", at positions 508 to 807 of the family's 1533-position model. The record is from RNAcentral.
GCAGCCGCCGCGGGAAUACAGAGGGUGCGAGCGUUAAUCGGAUUUACUGGGCGUAAAGCGUGCGUAGGCGGCUAAUUGAGUCGGAUGUGAAAUCCCCGAGCUUAACUUGGGAAUUGCAUUCGAUACUGGUUAGCUAGAGUGUGGGAGAGGAUGGUAGAAUUCCAGGUGUAGCGGUGAAAUGCGUAGAGAUCUGGAGGAAUACCGAUGGCGAAGGCAGCCAUCUGGCCUAACACUGACGCUGAGGUACGAAAGCAUGGGGAGCAAACAGGAUUAGAUACCCGUGUAGUCCCUGUCUCUUAUAC